This 67-nucleotide transfer RNA is filed under the name Corythornis leucogaster (White-bellied kingfisher). Its description in RNAcentral is "tRNA-Cys". Lineage: Eukaryota; Metazoa; Chordata; Aves; Coraciiformes; Alcedinidae. The record is from RNAcentral.
GACCUCGUAGUGAAGUUCAUGUUGAGUUGCAAGCUCAUUGAUGUGUGUUGAGAGCACACCGGGGUUU